UUUCAUUUCGUUCGACGCAUUGGCAUCGACUGGAUCGCGGGUUCGCCAAGGGGGCAACGUGGCGUAGUUGGCUACACGUUCGCUUCAUAAGCGGAUCGUCAUGGGUUUGAUUCCCAGCACCUCAACAAAAAACUUCGUCAGUUCGCUUGAAAACUACACGAGCUACACCCGUCCCACACCAUGGCCGUCUGAAAGCGGACUGACAACUGACCCUCUUCUGAGCGAACAUGCUCUAAUGUACCUGGAUAACAUAACGAUCGACCAACGGCAAGGAAUAAUGGACUUAUCUCUGGACUCUCUCUGGAAAAGCAGGAACAUCGGAUCAGAUCCACAAAUAGAUUUAAUCGAUAAAGCAGAAAGAACAACUGUCAAAAUUUGGAUUCGCUCUGGUGAUGCCCAAGCUGGCGAAUAAGAGCUCAAUAGAUUAAGUAAAUGGAGAAUAAAAAAACAGGUUCGCCAUCCGUGAACUUCUCUGGAAUUCAAAAAUAAAGACUCGCAUAAACUACA
Long non-coding RNA from Aedes aegypti (yellow fever mosquito), 507 nucleotides. RefSeq lists it as uncharacterized. The transcript has 2 exons. Lineage: Eukaryota; Metazoa; Arthropoda; Insecta; Diptera; Culicidae. The record is from RefSeq and is a predicted model, not a curated record.